UCGCUGGAGAGUUUGAUCCUGGCUCAGGACGAAACGCUGGCGGCGUGCCUAAUACAUGCAAGUCGAAGGACCUUGUGUUUCUUUCUCGGGAGACGCCAGGGUUACAGGACGGGUGAGCAACACGUAGGCAACCUGCCUGUAAGACCGGGAUAACUUGCGGAAACGAGCUAAUACCGGAUAGCUGGUUUCUUCGGCAUGAAGAAGUCAUGAAAGACGGGGCACCUGUCACUUACAGAUGAGCCUGCGGCGCAUUAGCUAGUUGGUAGGGUAACGGCUGUCAACAAUAAGGACGAUGCGUAGCCGACCUGAGAGGGUGAACGGCCACACUGGGAUCGAGACACGGCCCAGACCCUACGGAGGCAGCAGGGAAUCUUCCGCAAUGCUGACGAAAGUCUGGACGAGCAAACGGCCAGUGAGUGAUGAAGGUUUUCGGAUCGUAAAGGCAAGCUCUGUUGCCAGGAAGAACGGCCAGGGGAGGCAAUCGCUCGGAGUGACGGUACCUGAGAAGAAAGCCCUGGCUAACUACGUGCCAGCAGCCGCGUAAUACGUAGGGGGCAAGCGUUGUCCGGAAUUAUUGGGCGGGCAAGGCAAGCGCAGGCGGUCUUUUAAGUCUGGUGUUUAAGCCCGGGGCUCAACCCCGGUUCGCACUGGAAACUGGGAGACUUGAGUGUAGGGAGGAAAGUGGAAUUCCACGCGUGUAGCGGUGAAAUGCGUAGAGAUGUGGAGGAACACCAGUGGCGAAGGCGACUUUCUGGCCUAUAACUCGCUGAGGCGCGAAAGCGUGGGGAGCAAACAGAUUAGAUACUCCUGGUAGUCCACGCCGUAAACGAUGAAUGCUAGGUGUUAGGGUUUCGAUACCCUUGGUGCCGAAGUUAACACAGUAAGCAUUCCGCCUGUAGCCGGUCGCGAAGAUUGAAACUCAAAGGAAUUGACGGGGACCCGCACAAGCAGUGGAGUAUGUGGUUUAAUUCGAAGCAACGCGAAGAACCUUACCAGGCCUUGACAUCCCUCUGACCGGUUUAGAGAUAGAUCUUUUCCUUCGGGGACAGAGGAGACAGGUGGCAUGGUUGUCGUCAGCUCGUGUCGUGAGAUGUUGGGUUAAGUCCCGCAACGAGCGCAACCCUUGAUCUUAGUUGCCAGCACGCAGAGGUGGGCACUCUAAGAUGACUGCCGGUGACAAACCGGAGGAAGGUGAUGACGUCAAAUCAUUCAUGCCCCUUAUGGCCUGGGCUACACACGUACUACAAUGGUCGGUACAACGGGAAGCGAAGGGAAGCCGAUCCGGAGCCAAUCCUCAAAAGCCGAUCUCAGUUCGAUUGCAGGCUGCAACUCGCCUGCAUGAAGUCGGAAUUGCUAGUAAUCGCGGAUCAGCAUGCCGCGGUGAAUACGUUCUCGGAAGUCUUGUACACCGCCCGUCACACCACGAGAGUUUACAACACCCGAAGUCGGUGAGGUAACCAAGGCCAGCCGCCGAAGGUGGGGUAGAUGAUUGGGGUGAAGUCGUAACAAGGUAGCCGUAUCGGAAGGUGCGGCUGAUCACCUCCUUU
Molecule: ribosomal RNA, 1547 nt
Filed under: Paenibacillus larvae
Lineage: Bacteria; Bacillati; Bacillota; Bacilli; Caryophanales; Paenibacillaceae
Description: bacterial SSU rRNA
Rfam family: Bacterial small subunit ribosomal RNA
Source: RNAcentral